AGCGAACGCUGGCGGCAGGCUUAACACAUGCAAGUCGAGCGGGCGUAGCAAUACGUUAGCGGCAGACGGGUGAGUAACGCGUGGGAACAUACCUUUUGGUUCGGAACAACACAGGGAAACUUGUGCUAAUACCGGAUAAGCCCUUACGGGGAAAGAUUUAUCGCCGAAAGAUUGGCCCGCGUCUGAUUAGCUAGUUGGUGAGGUAACGGCUCACCAAGGCGACGAUCAGUAGCUGGCUGAGAGGAUGAUCAGCCACAUUGGGACUGAGACACGGCCCAAACUCCUACGGGAGGCAGCAGUGGGGAAUAUUGGACAAUGGGCGCAAGCCUGAUCCAGCCAUGCCGCGUGAGUGAUGAAGGCCCUAGGGUUGUAAAGCUCUUUUGUGCGGGGAAGAUAAUGACGGUACCGCAAGAAUAA
RNAcentral lists this ribosomal RNA (417 nucleotides) under uncultured bacterium. RNAcentral's name for it is "bacterial SSU rRNA". It matches the Rfam family "Bacterial small subunit ribosomal RNA", at positions 29 to 489 of the family's 1533-position model. The record is from RNAcentral.